GUCCACGCCGUAAACGAUGCUAACUCGUUUUUGGGGCUUCGGCUUCAGAGACUAAGCGAAAGUGAUAAGUUAGCCACCUGGGGGAGUACGUUCGCAAGAAUGAAACUCAAAUGAAUUGACGGGGGCCCGCACAAGCGGUGGAGCAUGUGGUUUAAUUCGAUGCAACGCGAAGAACCUUACCUGGUCUUGACAUAGUAAGAACUUUCCAGAGAUGGAUUGGUGCCUUCGGGAACUUACAUACAGGUGCUGCAUGGCUGUCGU
This 261-nucleotide ribosomal RNA is filed under the name uncultured bacterium. RNAcentral describes it as "partial 16S ribosomal RNA". It matches the Rfam family "Bacterial small subunit ribosomal RNA", at positions 793 to 1055 of the family's 1533-position model. The record is from RNAcentral.